GGGAGAGAGCGGAGAGAGGGCGGGAAUGGAAGGUUAAGAUUGGGACAGGAGGGUGGGGAAUGGGGGAGAGAGCGGAGAGAGGGCGGGAAUGGAAGGUUAAGAUUGGGACAGGAGGGUGGGGAAUGGGGGAGAGAGCGGAGAGAGGGCGGGAAUGGAAGGUUAAGAUUGGGACAGGAGGGUGGGGAAUGGGGGAGAGAGCGGAGAGAGGGCGGGAGGAAUAAGAGGAUGGGAUAGCGAGGAAUGGGAGGGGAGUGGGAGGAGGUGACAAAGAGAUGUAAAAGAAUCUGAUACCUUCAGUGUUCUCCCUGUCUCCCGGCAACAGUGCCACCAAGCUCAUUACACUUCCAAAUGCCGCUGCUGCUGUAUCCUCUUCCCCCUGGGCCUCCCCG
This is a long non-coding RNA of Oncorhynchus tshawytscha (Chinook salmon), 389 nucleotides long. The record is from Ensembl. NCBI's taxonomy places the organism in Eukaryota, Metazoa, Chordata, Actinopteri, Salmoniformes, Salmonidae.